AGAGUUUGAUCAUGGCUCAGAUUGAACGCUGGCGGCAAGCCUCAUACAUGCAAGUCGAGCGAGAACGUUACUUCGGUAGCUAGUAAAGCGGCGGACGGGUGAGUAACGCGUAGGAAUCUACCUUUCAGCGGGGGAUAGCUCGGGGAAACCCGAAUUAAUACCGCAUACACCCUAAGGGGGAAAGAGGGCCUAUCCUUGGAAGCUCUCGCUGUUAGAUGAGCCUGCGUGAGAUUAGUUUGUUGGUGGGGUAAUGGCCUACCAAGACUACGAUCUCUAGCUGGUCUGAGAGGACGAUCAGCCACACUGGGACUGAGACACGGCCCAGACUCCUACGGGAGGCAGCAGUGGGGAAUAUUGGACAAUGGGCGCAAGCCUGAUCCAGCCAUACCGCGUGUGUGAAGAAGGCCUUCGGGUUGUAAAGCACUUUAAGCAGGGAGAAAAAGCAAUAAGUUAAUACCUUAUUGCCGUGAUGUUACCUGCAGAAUAAGCACCGGCUAAUUCCGUGCCAGCAGCCGCGGUAAUACGGAAGGUCCAAGCGUUAAUCGGAAUUACUGGGCGUAAAGCGCGCGUAGGUGGUUUAUUAAGUUGGGUGUGAAAGCCCCGGGCUCAACCUGGGAACUGCAUCCAAAACUGAUUCACUAGAGUACGAAAGAGGAAAGUAGAAUUCACAGUGUAGCGGUGGAAUGCGUAGAUAUUGUGAAGAAUACCGAUGGCGAAGGCAGCUUUCUGGUUCUGUACUGACACUGAGGUGCGAAAGCGUGGGUAGCGAACAGGAUUAGAUACCCUGGUAGUCCACGCCGUAAACGAUGUCAACUAGUUGUUCGUGUCACUAAGACGUGAGUAACGCAGCUAACGCACUAAGUUGACCGCCUGGGGAGUACGGCCGCAAGGUUAAAACUCAAAUGAAUUGACGGGGGCCCGCACAAGCGGUGGAGCAUGUGGUUUAAUUCGAUGCAACGCGAAGAACCUUACCAUCCCUUGACAUCCAGUGAACUUUCUAGAGAUAGAUUGGUGCCUUCGGGAACACUGAGACAGGUGCUGCAUGGCUGUCGUCAGCUCGUGUUGUGAGAUGUUGGGUUAAGUCCCGCAACGAGCGCAACCCCUACUUUUAGUUGCCACCAUUUAGUUGGGCACUUUAAAAGAACUGCCAGUGAUAAGCUGGAGGAAGGUGGGGAUGACGUCAAGUCCUCAUGGCCCUUAUGUGUUGGGCUACACACGUGCUACAAUGGCACUUACAAUGGGAAGCAAAGAGGUGACUCUAAGCUAAUCCCUAAAAUGUGUCUCAGUUCGGAUUGUACUCUGUAACUCGAGUGCAUGAAGCUGGAAUUGCUAGUAAUCGCGGAUCAGCGCGCCGCGGUGAAUACGUUCCCGGGUCUUGUACACACCGCCCGUCACACCAUGGAAGUUGGUUACACCUUAAGGCAAAGCUUAUACCUUUGACUACGGUACGAUCAGCAACUGGGGUGAAGUCGUAACAAGGUAGCCGUA
Molecule: ribosomal RNA, 1488 nt
Filed under: uncultured bacterium
Lineage: Bacteria
Description: bacterial SSU rRNA
Rfam family: Bacterial small subunit ribosomal RNA
Source: RNAcentral